RNAcentral lists this non-coding RNA (23 nucleotides) under Arabidopsis thaliana (thale cress). Lineage: Eukaryota; Viridiplantae; Streptophyta; Magnoliopsida; Brassicales; Brassicaceae. The record is from RNAcentral.
CGGGUUACGGUGCCCAACUGCGC